GACGAACGCUGGCGGCGUGCUUAACACAUGCAAGUCGAACGGAAAGGCCUGCUUUCCCUUGUGGAUUGCGGGUACUCGAGUGGCGAACGGGUGAGUAACACGUGAGUGAUCUGCCCCCAACUUGGGUAUAAGCCUGGGAAACUGGGUCUAAUUCCCGAUAGGACUGCAGGGUGGUGCCUGUGGUGGAAAACGAUUUUCUAGUGGUUGGGGAUGAGCUCGCGGCCUAUCAGCUUGUUGGUGGGGUAAUGGCCUACCAAGGCGGCGACGGGUAGCCGGCCUGGGAGGGUGGACGGCCACAUUGGGACUGGGAUACGGCCCAGACUCCUACGGGAGGCAGCAGUGGGGAAUAUUGCACAAUGGGCGGAAGCCUGAUGCAGCGACGCCGCGUGGAGGAUGACGGCCUUCGGGUUGUAAACUCCUUUCGACCGCGAGGAAGCCACCUGGUUGGAAGGGUGGUGACGGUAGUGGUAGAAGAAGCACCGGCUAACUACGUG
RNAcentral lists this ribosomal RNA (494 nucleotides) under uncultured bacterium. RNAcentral describes it as "partial 16S ribosomal RNA". It matches the Rfam family "Bacterial small subunit ribosomal RNA", at positions 28 to 507 of the family's 1533-position model. The record is from RNAcentral.